This is a long non-coding RNA of Limulus polyphemus (Atlantic horseshoe crab), 304 nucleotides long. RefSeq lists it as uncharacterized. The transcript is spliced from 3 exons. Lineage: Eukaryota; Metazoa; Arthropoda; Merostomata; Xiphosura; Limulidae. The record is from RefSeq and is a predicted model, not a curated record.
AGAAAGUUGAAGCUAACUGAACAAAGACUGGAAACUUCCAUAAACUUCCCGAACAAAGUAAAUUUUCUCCAUUUUGAACGUUAAGGCAUGGUUUCCAAAAGAUGUUCAGUUUCUUUGGUGUUUAUCAUGUCUAUAUUGUUGGUGAUAUAUUCUGCUGAUGGCGACAAACGACCAACCUUCAAUGGAAGUAUCUUUGGGAAAAGAGCUAGGUCGAAUGGGUUUGACAAUGCAGCAACCAUGGGUCCAAUCACUGCAAAAAUCCGCAGACCGUCUUUAAACGGAAGUGUAUAUGGCAAGCGAUCAG